GGCCCAGUGGCCUAAUGAAUAAGGCAUCAGCCUGGGGAUUGUGGGUUCAAGUCCCACCUGGGUUG
Molecule: non-coding RNA, 65 nt
Organism: Danio rerio (zebrafish)
Lineage: Eukaryota; Metazoa; Chordata; Actinopteri; Cypriniformes; Danionidae
Source: Rfam